Brassica rapa (field mustard) is the source of this 1841-nucleotide long non-coding RNA. RefSeq lists it as uncharacterized. Lineage: Eukaryota; Viridiplantae; Streptophyta; Magnoliopsida; Brassicales; Brassicaceae. The record is from RefSeq and is a predicted model, not a curated record.
GUCUUACAAGGUGGUAUCAGAGCCAGGUUGAUUCUAGGAUAGUUGGGUUAUGUAGUCCACACACACACACGCAGCCAGCUGAUUAGGUCUCACGGUGAGGUUUGAUUGCUUAGUCUAGGGAUUGUUUUGUUCUGUUUAGGGUUAGUGUAACGGCCCGGUUCCUGGCCCAUAAAUUUCUUUAGGAAUAUGGGCUUCUCUACGGCCCAUUUGGCAAAGACCUAGGGUUUUCCCUUCCUCUUUCCUAUAAAAAGGAGAUGCAGCCUCCCUUUUUGCCUCACUCAGAAACUGAAGCGAAGCUCUGCAGAGAAUUCCCGGAGACUAGAAACCCUAGCCGUCGAGCUCUCUCCCCUUCUCUCUUGCGCCACCUCUCUCUCUUCUCUCUCUCUCUCCUCGCCGUCACUCUCUCUCUCCUCACCGCCACACUCUCUCUCUCCUCGCCGGCGCCGUGUGGUGGUGGUGGUGACCAGAUCUCAACCUUCCCACAUCUUUGUUUCCAGAUCCAGAUCUAGACUAAGGUGGAGUGUCUUGAACCCAUCUUGUUCUCAUGUUCUGUAUACUCCUUUAUGUUGGAGUUAGGUUUGAUUAGACCCUGUUUGAGAGCUAGGAUGAUAGAACAUGGAUAUUACUAGGAUGAUAGAUGAAUGGAUCAUGAUGCAUAAGAACCCUCACACUGUUAAAUGGGACUUAAUGAACUGAAUUGAAUUGUUGUGGUGAUGAUUGAUUGGUAAUUGAUGCUUGUAUGUUUGGAUGUGUAGUCCCAUGAGUGGUUUGCGAUUAAAGCUAGGAUGGUAGAAAGAAGUGAAUGCUAGGUUGAUAGAUGAGAAAUGAAUGUUAAGGUUAUUGAGUAGAACUUGAGUGCGACGUGUAUUGUGUGUGACACCGAUAACGGGUGGCGUCUAGUGAAUGAGUAUAAGUACAAGUGUAAGUGAAAAAGGAAAGUGAAUGAAAAUGAGAAAGGAUAAGUAAAAGUGAUAAGGAUGUGAAAGAUGUAAGGAUAAGUGAAUGUAUAAGAGAAUAAUGUUAAGGUUAAGCAUGGGUUGGGAAAUCAUAUAGAGUCUAAGGAAAGUAUGUGUGGCAGUAGUUCCACGCUAGGUAUCCAUAGGAAAUGUGGCGAAUCCACCAGAAUAUGGAUGCACCCAUAGGAGAUGUGGCGAAUCCACAAGAAUAUGGGGUAGAAGCCUAGUAGGAGCUACCCACAGUGAUAAGAAACGAAGUGCCAACCGCGAGAGGCGGGAUAUAAAAACGUGCAUUGUAGAGUCCUUAGUCCAUGGUCGGGUAACGGGGUGUUAAAGUUGUCGUAGGAUGGAGUCGGUCUGGUAAGAUGCAUCAGUUAAGUCUAGGGUUUGACGUGUGUGACAAUGAGUGAGAUCAUUGUAUUGAUUGAUCAUUAGGUUGCUAGAAAUGUUUGGAAUUAAUGAUGACGAUAGAAAAUGAUAAGAUGCAUUAACUGAUUGUAGUGGCUAGUCAGUCCUAGUUCCCGCAUAGAGUAGUAUAAAGUGUCAUGCGGGCAGGCUGGUCUAGAGUCACUUCACUGAGUAACUUGUUGCUCAUUCCUCCAUUUCCAUUUUCCUGUGCGCAUGACUGUAAGUAGAAGUAUAUGGAUGUGGGUGUGACGGUAUUUCAAAGAAGGUUAUGCGUCCGUCGAAUCUUGGGACCAGUAACGGAACACGUAGGGUUGUCUAAAUGAGUAGACACGUGUCCAUAACGCCCUUUCGAUAAUUCUGGUGGGACGCCAGGGGAUCGGGCCGUUACAAUUGGUAUCAGAGCGGGUUAAGAUCCCUUAGUUCUGUCCUAAGGGAUCAGCAUUUCCGACGUUUUCAAAAAAAAAAAAAAAAAAAAAA